UGGGUAUAAUACCCGAUAGUCCUCGAAUGCUGGAAUGCAUCGAGUUCGAAAGCUCCGGUGCCCAAGGAUGGGUCUGCGGCCUAUCAGGUAGUAGUGGGUGUAGCGUACCUACUAGCCUACGACGGGUACGGGUUGUGAGAGCAAGAGCCCGGAGAUGGAUUCUGAGACACGAAUCCAGGCCCUACGGGGUGCAGCAGGCGCGAAAACUUUACAAUGCCGGCAACGGCGAUAAGGGAACCUCGAGUGCCAGGUUACAAAUCUGGCUGUCGUGAUGCCUAAAAAGCAUUGCAUAGCAAGGGCCGGGCAAGACCGGUGCCAGCCGCCGCGGUAACACCGGCGGCUCGAGUGGUAACCGUUAUUAUUGGGUCUAAAGGGUCUGUAGCCGGCCGGAUAAGUCUCUUGGGAAAUCUGGCGGCUUAACUGUCAGGCUUUCAGGAGAUACUGUCUGGCUCGAGGCCGGGAGAGGUGAGAGGUACUUCAGGGGUAUGGGUGAAAUCUUGUAAUCCUUGAAGGACCACCAGUGGCGAAGGCGUCUCACCAGAACGGACCUGACGGCAAGGGACGAAAGCUAGGGGCACGAACCGGAUUAGAUACCCGGGUAGUCCUAGCCGUAAACGAUACUCGCUAGGUGUCGGCCACGGUGCGACCGUGGUCGGUGCCGUAGGGAAGCCGUGAAGCGAGCCACCUGGGAAGUACGGCCGCAAGGCUGAAACUUAAAGGAAUUGGCGGGGGAGCACCACAACGGGUGGAGCUUGCGGUUUAAUUGGAUUCAACGCCGGAAAUCUUACCGGGACCGACAGCAUAUGAAGGCCAGGCUGAAGACUUUGCCGGAUUAGCUGAGAGGUGGUGCAUGGCCGUCGUCAGUUCGUACUGUGAAGCAUCCUGUUAAGUCAGGCAACGAGCGAGACCCCCGCCCACAGUUGCCAGCGUACUCUCCGGAGUGACGGGUACACUGUGGGGACCGCCGCUGCUAAAGCGGAGGAAGGAAUGGGCAACGGUAGGUCAGUAUGCCCCGAAUAUCCCGGGCUACACGCGAGCUACAAUGGUUGGUACAAUGGGUGUCUACCCCGAAAGGGGAUGGAAAUCUCCUAAAACCAAUCUUAGUUCGGAUUGAGGGCCGCAACUCGCCCUCAUGAAGCUGGAAUCCGUAGUAAUCGCGUUUCAACAGAACGCGGUGAAUACGCCCCUGCUCCUUGCACACACCGCCCGUCAAACCACCC
RNAcentral lists this ribosomal RNA (1220 nucleotides) under metagenome. Its description in RNAcentral is "bacterial SSU rRNA". It matches the Rfam family "Archaeal small subunit ribosomal RNA", at positions 141 to 1363 of the family's 1478-position model. The record is from RNAcentral.